Molecule: unclassified non-coding RNA, 336 nt
Filed under: soil metagenome
Description: partial contains 5.8S ribosomal RNA, internal transcribed spacer 2, and large subunit ribosomal RNA
Rfam family: 5.8S ribosomal RNA (bases 1-120)
Source: RNAcentral
GAUGAAGAACGCAGCGAAAUGCGAUAAGUAAUGUGAAUUGCAGAAUUCAGUGAAUCAUCGAAUCUUUGAACGCGCAUUGCGCCCGCCAGUAUUCUGGCGGGCAUGCCUGUUCGAGCGUCAUUUCAACCAUCAAGCCCCCGGCUUGUGUUGGGGACCUGCGGCUGCCGCAGGCCCUGAAAAGCAGUGGCGGGCUCGCUGUCACACCGAGCGUAGUAGCAUACAUCUCGCUCUGGGCGUGCUGCGGGUUCCGGCCGUUAAACCACCUUCAUAACCCAAGGUUGACCUCGGAUCAGGUAGGAAGACCCGCUGAACUUAAGCAUAUCAAUAAGCGGAGGA